This 1343-nucleotide ribosomal RNA is filed under the name uncultured bacterium. RNAcentral describes it as "16S ribosomal RNA". It matches the Rfam family "Bacterial small subunit ribosomal RNA", at positions 28 to 1378 of the family's 1533-position model. The record is from RNAcentral.
GACGAACGCUGGCGGCGUGCUUAACACAUGCAAGUCGAACGGAAAGGCCCUGCUUUUGUGGGGUGCUCGAGUGGCGAACGGGUGAGUAACACGUGAGUAACCUGCCCUUGACUUUGGGAUAACUUCAGGAAACUGGGGCUAAUACCGGAUAGGAGCUCCUGCUGCAUGGUGGGGGUUGGAAAGUUUCGGCGGUUGGGGAUGGACUCGCGGCUUAUCAGCUUGUUGGUGGGGUAGUGGCUUACCAAGGCUUUGACGGGUAGCCGGCCUGAGAGGGUGACCGGCCACAUUGGGACUGAGAUACGGCCCAGACUCCUACGGGAGGCAGCAGUGGGGAAUAUUGCACAAUGGGCGGAAGCCUGAUGCAGCAACGCCGCGUGCGGGAUGACGGCCUUCGGGUUGUAAACCGCUUUCGCCUGUGACGAGGCGUGAGUGACGGUAAUGGGUAAAGAAGCACCGGCUAACUACGUGCCAGCAGCCGCGGUGAUACGUAGGGUGCGAGCGUUGUCCGGAUUUAUUGGGCGUAAAGGGCUCGUAGGUGGUUGAUCGCGUCGGAAGUGUAAUCUUGGGGCUUAACCCUGAGCGUGCUUUCGAUACGGGUUGACUUGAGGAAGGUAGGGGAGAAUGGAAUUCCUGGUGGAGCGGUGGAAUGCGCAGAUAUCAGGAGGAACACCAGUGGCGAAGGCGGUUCUCUGGGCCCUUCCUGACGCUGAGGAGCGAAAGCGUGGGGAGCGAACAGGCUUAGAUACCCUGGUAGUCCACGCUGUAAACGGUGGGUACUAGGUGUGGGGUCCAUUCCACGGGUUCCGUGCCGUAGCUAACGCUUUAAGUACCCCGCCUGGGGAGUACGGCCGCAAGGCUAAAACUCAAAGGAAUUGACGGGGCCCCGCACAAGCGGCGGAGCAUGCGGAUUAAUUCGAUGCAACGCGUAGAACCUUACCUGGGUUUGACAUGGAUCGGGAGCGCUCAGAGAUGGGUGUGCCUCUUUUGGGGUCGGUUCACAGGUGGUGCAUGGCUGUCGUCAGCUCGUGUCGUGAGAUGUUGGGUUAAGUCCCGCAACGAGCGCAACCCUUGUUCACUGUUGCCAGCACGUUAUGGUGGGGACUCAGUGGAGACCGCCGGGGUCAACUCGGAGGAAGGUGGGGAUGACGUCAAGUCAUCAUGCCCCUUAUGUCCAGGGCUUCACGCAUGCUACAAUGGCUGGUACAGAGAGUGGCGAGCCUGUGAGGGUGAGCGAAUCUCGGAAAGCCGGUCUCAGUUCGGAUUGGGGUCUGCAACUCGACCUCAUGAAGUCGGAGUCGCUAGUAAUCGCAGAUCAGCAACGCUGCGGUGAAUACGUUCCCGGG